RNAcentral lists this ribosomal RNA (497 nucleotides) under uncultured bacterium. RNAcentral's name for it is "partial 16S ribosomal RNA". It matches the Rfam family "Bacterial small subunit ribosomal RNA", at positions 28 to 507 of the family's 1533-position model. The record is from RNAcentral.
GAUGAACGCUGGCGGCGUGCCUAAUACAUGCAAGUCGAGCGAACAGACGAGGAGCUUGCUCCUCUGACGUUAGCGGUGGACGGGUGAGUAACACGUGGAUAACCUACCUAUAAGACUGGGAUAACUUCGGGAAACCGGAGCUAAUACCGGAUAAUAUAUUGAACCGCAUGGUUCAAUAGUGAAAGACGGUUUUGCUGUCACUUAUAGAUGGAUCCGCGCCGCAUUAGCUAGUUGGUAAGGUAACGGCUUACCAAGGCAACGAUGCGUAGCCGACCUGAGAGGGUGAUCGGCCACACUGGAACUGAGACACGGUCCAGACUCCUACGGGAGGCAGCAGUAGGGAAUCUUCCGCAAUGGGCGAAAGCCUGACGGAGCAACGCCGCGUGAGUGAUGAAGGUCUUCGGAUCGUAAAACUCUGUUAUUAGGGAAGAACAAAUGUGUAAGUAACUAUGCACGUCUUGACGGUACCUAAUCAGAAAGCCACGGCCAACUACGUG